This 235-nucleotide long non-coding RNA is filed under the name Olea europaea (common olive). RNAcentral describes it as "long non-coding RNA (OEUR_LNC006730)". Lineage: Eukaryota; Viridiplantae; Streptophyta; Magnoliopsida; Lamiales; Oleaceae. The record is from RNAcentral.
UUAAUGAAGUCAUAAUCUUAUGACAUAGAGGUUAUUAAUCAAAGGCUUGUAAAUUUGUGAAGCCUUAAUUGCCGUUAUAUGAAGUCAAUAUGUGGAUUAAUCUACGUGUGGAGUUGUAGUUGGACUUCUCUAUUGAGCAUUGAACAAUUGUCGUCCAUGCAAGGGUCAUUAAUGAUGAAUUAGUCUCUAGUAGGAGAUUGUUAAAUUGUAAAAUUUAAUUAUUCUCAUUGUGCGG